This 253-nucleotide ribosomal RNA is filed under the name uncultured bacterium. RNAcentral's name for it is "partial 16S ribosomal RNA". It matches the Rfam family "Bacterial small subunit ribosomal RNA", at positions 524 to 776 of the family's 1533-position model. The record is from RNAcentral.
GACGUAGGGGGCCAGCGUUGUUCGGAAUUACUGGGUGUAAAGGGUUCGUAGGCGGUGUGGCAAGUUGGGAGUGAAAUCUCUGGGCUCAACCCAGAGGCUGCUUCCAAAACUGCUGUGCUUGAGUGUGAGAGAGGCUCGUGGAAUUGCAGGUGUAGCGGUGAAAUGCGUAGAUAUCUGCAGGAACACCCGUGGCGAAAGCGGCGAGCUGGAUCACUACUGACGCUGAGGAACGAAAGCUAGGGGAGCAAACGGG